GGAAUGCAGAACUUCAAGACUCUGAGAGAAUCCCUACGCAGAUCCCUAGUUCUUUGCCAGGCUAGAGCAAGGAAGCUCCUCAGACUGGAGUCCUCUGAAUUACCCAGUUCUUCAGGAUUCACUCCGAAUUCUCCAAACCUUCUUAAGAGCCAAGAAGGGCAGAAAAUUAUGACAAACUAAUUAUUAUGAUGGAUGGGGAGCCAGUCCCUUCUGCUCACUACACUGCUGGAGCAAGGAGCAGCCCUGCAUUCUGCAUCUUUCAACAUACAUUUCCCAGGAAUCUCAAACAAGAUGGUUAAGUAUGUUUACAAUGGAAACCUCCAACCAACCCACAUCUCUAUGAUCCAGAGUUUUACCUUACAUCUGCAAUCUUCUCAGGGGCCACAGAGAAUCUACUCCGUAGUAUCUUUUAUGUUUCUUAUCCACCUUGUGAAGACAGUAUCUUCAAAUCUUGCCCAAAUCAAUUACUAUUAUCAUCACUGAUAAGAACAAGACGUAGCCAUAAGAGAAUAAUUCGUCCCCAUCUGAAA
This is a long non-coding RNA of Mastomys coucha (southern multimammate mouse), 530 nucleotides long. RefSeq lists it as uncharacterized. The record is from RefSeq and is a predicted model, not a curated record. Lineage: Eukaryota; Metazoa; Chordata; Mammalia; Rodentia; Muridae. The transcript is spliced from 3 exons.